Molecule: unclassified non-coding RNA, 504 nt
Filed under: Hevea brasiliensis (rubber tree)
Lineage: Eukaryota; Viridiplantae; Streptophyta; Magnoliopsida; Malpighiales; Euphorbiaceae
Source: RNAcentral
GUUGUGUUGCUUGAGUUAAUAUCAGAUAAGAAAGCACUUGAUCCGUCUUUCUCUUCUUAUGGAAAUGGAUUCAAUAUUGUUGCUUGGGCAUGCAUGCUUUUACGGCAGGGCCGUGCUAAGGAGUUCUUUACGGCUGGUCUAUGGGAUUCAGGUCCACAUGAUGAUUUGGUUGAGGUCCUACACUUGGCUGUGGUCUGCACGGUUGACUCUCUUUCUACUAGACCUACAAUGAAGCAAGUAGUAAGACGGUUGAAGCAACUUCAACCCCCGUCGUGUUAGCUGCUGCAUGUGUUUUGGAUAGGAUAUGGUUUAGCCCAAUUGUAAUUUUAAAACUUGCCCUUGAUAGUAAGGUGUAUUUGGGUGUCUCGUAUUAGGUUCAGAUUUGUAUUUGUAGCCUGCUUGUGAAUUGUAGUAUAUAGCCAGCCCCCAUUUUUCCAUGUCAUGUCCCUAAUUAGGGGGUGUGCAGAUUCAUCUGCAGAAGAGUGCAGAUACUUGUCUUCAACA